CCUACGGGAGGCAGCAGUGGGGAAUUUUGGACAAUGGGCGAAAGCCUGAUCCAGCAAUGCCGCGUGAGUGAAGAAGGCCUUCGGGUUGUAAAGCUCUUUUGUCAGGGAAGAAACGGUGAGAGCUAAUAUCUCUUGCUAAUGACGGUACCUGAAGAAUAAGCACCGGCUAACUACGUGCCAGCAGCCGCGGUAAUACGUAGGGUGCAAGCGUUAAUCGGAAUUACUGGGCGUAAAGCGUGCGCAGGCGGUUUUGUAAGUCUGAUGUGAAAUCCCCGGGCUCAACCUGGGAAUUGCAUUGGAGACUGCAAGGCUAGAAUCUGGCAGAGGGGGGUAGAAUUCCACGUGUAGCAGUGAAAUGCGUAGAUAUGUGGAGGAACACCGAUGGCGAAGGCAGCCCCCUGGGUCAAGAUUGACGCUCAUGCACGAAAGCGUGGGGAGCAAACAGGAUUAGAUACCCUGGUAGUCCACGCCCUAAACGAUGUCUACUAGUUGUCGGGUCUUAAUUGACUUGGUAACGCAGCUAACGCGUGAAGUAGACCGCCUGGGGAUACGGUCGCAAGAUUAAAACCUUAAAGAGUAAGUUCGACGGNGAGAGAGACGACGACGGACGACGACGGAGGGAGGAG
This 626-nucleotide ribosomal RNA is filed under the name uncultured bacterium. RNAcentral's name for it is "bacterial SSU rRNA". It matches the Rfam family "Bacterial small subunit ribosomal RNA", at positions 338 to 1417 of the family's 1533-position model. The record is from RNAcentral.